UUCCUCCUUUUAAACCUCAAGUGACAUCUGAGACGGACACCAGAUACUUUGACGAAGAGUUUACUGCUCAAACUAUUACAAUAACGCCACCUGAAAAAUAUGAUGAAGAUGGCAUGGACUGCAUGGACAAUGAGAGACGACCACAUUUCCCUCAGUUUUCUUAUUCUGCAAGUGGCCGGGAAUAACUUCCUGUUUUGUAUUCCUGCUAUAGAGACAUACUCAAUUUAUCACUGAAAAUGAUUCCUGAACAUCACCACCAGUCCUUGUUAUUAUUUAGGAGAGCAGAGCACUUUCAGAAAUCAUUCCAAAUUGACCAAUUUCCUUUUUUGAUUAAUCAGCCUAUUUGGUUUAUCUGCAUGAGGUGUUACAUUGUUCUAAGUUGACCUGCGGUUACUGCUGUCUCAGCAUGAAAGUCAUAGCAAAAAGCAUUCCCCAGAUAUUAGAAGGCAAAUUCUCAGUUGCGUGGAUUUGUGCACAACUAGCUCUUAUUCUCUUGCCUUCCCAGAGCAGAGAUUAAAGGGCAUGCCGGUCUGUGAUACGGUUCUUGCUCCCUUCUAAAAUUAAUUCCAUUAAUUUGGAUGUUUUCACAAGCUGAUUGGAGCUUGACAGAAUGAGGGAAUAUUACAAGGUGGUUGUGUACAUAUGCAAGCUUUUGGUAGAUGUAUGCCAUCACUUGAAUCAGUUUUACGUUUAACAUGUGGAUAAAAACAUUCAGGCUAAGGACCUAUAAUUGUGUGUCUGUAUGUGUGUGCGCGCGUGUACAUACACAUACUCACACACAAACACACAAAGAUAGAUAGAUAUAUGUAUAAUUAUAUAUAAUUAUUUUUUAACUGUUGGAUACUACCCAAGAAGCAAAAAGUCUGGGAUUACCAAUUUCCCACUUAGACUUCCAUAUUCAUGUGCAAUUAUGGAGAAUGGGACAUUUAAAUGGAAGAAAUUAUCACAUAAAAGCAGCAAGUGAUGUUGUUUCAACCUCUUAUGAUUUGUGUCUUGUGCUUUCCUUUUUCUUCGUUGAUAUUCAUCACCCCUGGAGGCUGAAGAAUUUAGACAAGCUUAACAACAUUGCUUUUCACCAAAAUUUGUAUACUAAGGUAAACAAUUGUUUACCUUUUAUGUUUUUUUGAGUUUAUGAACUAGUUUUAUUUUCUUCAGAUGUUUUAAUUGAAUAUUUUGUUACACUUCAGUAGUAUUUAUUUUUUAGUGACAAUGAUUGUAUGUGUCAUGUUUGCAAUGCUGCUACAUCCUAGAAGAGGCUUGCAAUUUAUUUUAUAAUGUACGGAAGAACUGUACAAGCUGAACAAAAGAAUGCACUUUUUUCUAUAUGAAAAUGUUAAAAUUCUGAAAGUGUACCUUGUAUUUAGAAUUUGGUUUUUAUAGUUAAACUAUUUCAUUAUGAUCAAGAGAAAAAAAUCCCCAACCUAUGUAUCCCAAUUGUUUGCACAGUCUUUACUGAAGUUGAAUGUGGUAUAGAAGUUGGAUAACCUUCAAAAAUUUUAAGUUACCAAGGCCACAGUGAUUACAAGAAAUGCAUUGUAAAGUUUCAAACAUUUAGUUAGAUUGAUAGAAGUAUCUGUUUUAAAAUACCGUAUUAGUUCUAGCCAUGACAGAUGCAACAUUUUUAGUAAACCUAAUUCUCAAAAUAUUUAUUAAAUAGGAUGUUUGAAUAUUUAUUUUUUCAUUUAAAAGAUUUUAAAAAAUAAACAUGUGACGAAAGGCAAUUUAUGACAUGGCCCUUGGUGAUGGGAGUUGGGAUUUUCUAAAGGAGCUAGUAAGUGUAAUAGUGCAUGCCAGAUUAGCCCUGAAGGAUGAUCUGUGGGAUUAUAACUGAUGAUUCUUGACUUCAUUCUUUGUAACUCCUAUAAUCUUUUAAGCUCUUAUAUGACUUGUCUAAGUCUUAUGAAAACUGCCCUCAUGACUUUAAAAAAUAUUUACAUGCAAUUGUAUCCAUCUCUUGAUGCAGAAAAUGUACAUACUUUGAAGUAUCACUGCAGGCAGUGGAACGUGCUAGGGUUAUCAAGAGGCAUGUGGGCAUUUUAUUCAGGCAGCUAGGAUAAAUCUAUGCUUUAAAGAAAUAAGGUAAGUAUCAUUGUAUACUAUAGUAGGUCAGAAAUACUGUGUAUCUCUUGUGUGGAAUGAUUAUAGAAUAAGACAACAUCUGCAUUUAUUAAAAAUUGGUAAGCAGUAAGGAACAGACAGAAAGAAUGAGAAAUUUAGUUUAUGAUCAGUGUCUUAGUACUAUGUAUUAAAUACAAGUAUACUGUUUCUUUAAUAAUAGUUGAAGUAUUCUGAGUUCAGCAGUACUAAUAUGCAAAAAUUUAUUUGCUCUUCAGAUGGACAAGGAAGUUAAUUAGGACCACUUCUCUCCUUUUGCCAUGGAUAAAUAAGAGAAGUCAGGAGUCUCAUACUCCAAAUGAAUGAGGUCAUGUACUAUCAUCAUUUUCCUACUUGAAAUAUGCCAGCCCAAGCUAAUAAAAAAGCCUGACAUAUAUAAGAUACAUUUCUUCUCCUGUGCAGCCCUUAUAUAAAAGUCUGCACAUGGAUCAGUCUUGCUGGAUUGGAACAGGCAUGCUUUUUCACAGUUCAAAACAUUUAUUGAUUAGUGUGUGCUUGGACUAUUUUAGAUUACUCAUAAUUAUGUUACACAUAAUCAUUAAGAGGAUAUAGUUCAGUACUAAAGUAUAGAGCAGCCACAAUUGAACAGACUGUUUAGGGGAAAGGGGUAUUCAUUCAAUUUGAAUGUCCGUUAAACUCUCAGGUUGUCCUCUGCCUCCCACCAUCCACACCCCACUUUCCUUGCUCUCACUCCCCUUCCUAGAGAUGGACUACAGGAAAAAGCACUUUCAGAUACAGCCCUUCAAGGGAGGUAGUUGUUCCUAGCAUCAGUCUUUGGGAUGUUUGAUGACGCUUUUCUUUCUAGCUCCUCUAGCAGUGUUCAGAGCUGCAGGUGAGGGAAGGGGAAGGAGUCACAGCUAUUGCUCCUCCUCAGAGCACCUCCCCAGCCUUUUUUCCUCAGCUCAGCCCCACCGCUCCUCCUCUCAUCGUCUGCCAGGUUUUCUCAGCCCCUUUUCUCCUUGACCCUCCCAGGAACUCACCAUUAAGUAUCUACAAUAUACACCCACCUGACCAACCUUGCAUUUUCUGUCUCCCAGAAGUUAAACAGAAAGCAUAUCCAUUUUUGAGGGUUUAGCAGCAACUGCUGCCCAGACCAUUCCCCAAACAAGGGAGAAGUCUGUUAUUUUUGGAAUAUUGCCCACAUGGAAAUUUUGUUCAUUGUGUCUAAAGUCCAUUAGUCCUGCACUAUUUGUGAUGGUCAAUGAUAAAUUAUUUUUGUAAACAUGCCAUUGGUCAGUCAGUAUAGAGGAAAAAACAUUCCAUGCAGUCCCAUUUUUACAUUAUACAAAUAUUAUAUUUUACGUUCUAAAUCAUUAAUACUAUUUUUAUGAUGACUUGAUUUUUUUUAGUCAUAAUCCUAUCUGAUUAUAAUUGUUUCUACCCAUUGCUUUUUGAGUUUUGAUGUGUUGGCCAGGGAACGUAAUGUAGUAAAAUUAUGGAGAUUAAGAAAAAAUGAAAUCUUGAAAUACAUAAAAUAGAAUUUCUGUGAUCUUUUUCUUGGUUUUGUAUAAGGGAUAUUUUAUACAAGAUUCUAGAUUAGUAAAACUUGCUUAUUAAUAUGUUAUGAAAAAACAACAUAGACCAGUUAUGCUAAUAUGGAAGAAAAUGAGUAGCUGUGUAUAAAGUGAGGCUAAUGUGUACUCUUUCUUAUCUGUUGAAUACCAAGCUGUCUCGUUUAAGAUGCUUGUUGCACCAAUAUUAGGUGAAUAAGGCUCAAUUCAGUUUUCCCGCUACACUCACUUUUUAACAGAGUUUUAGAUUUUUAACAAGGCUUCAAUGUCUCACCCUUUCUCAAUAUACAAUAUGGAUAGAUGAGAAUGUUAUUUAUAAAUAUUAACUCUUCUGAAUUCCUCCUGCCAACCAACCUAAUGUGCUAGUUCAGAAGAAAGUAGCUUUUGUCCAAAGGAUCAGAAAUAUAUCAUCUCGUUGUACAGGCAUGUUACCUGAAACAUUUGAAUGAUCCCAUCUGUAUUGCAGGGUGCAAACAUUGGGCUUCAGACAGAAUAUUUCAUCAUGAGUGCAGUAUUGACCAGGGGACACAUUGUAUUUUGUGCAACACGGAUGGGAUCAGGACAUUACUCCAAGAUCAUUCAUAUUCAAUAGUGAAUGGGCUCUACCAUUCUGAAGUAUUCAUUGCUUACAUCAUAGAUUACUUUUUAGAUCAUUACUAUAAAUGAAUACUUUGAUAACACUUUUUGCCGUUUGCUCUUUUUGGCAAAAUUCACAAAUGAAGUUAUAGAAGUAUCAUAGGGUUAGUCUUCAAAGUUCUAGAUGAUCUCCUGAACAUUUAUGAGAUCAUUAAUGUCUUUCACCGUCCCCUGAAUUUUCAGACAAGGGCAGUGCUACUAUAUACACAAUAAAAUGUUUUAUGAAAAAAGUUAAACCAACUUUCAAUUUUGCUAUUUUCCUGAAAAGGAACUUGUAAUUUGAUGAAUAUGUGCUCAGCUGAACAAAAAACCAGCUUUCUUUUGGCACUAGAUGGCAACACUAAAACCAUGUGUCUUACGAACAAAAUCCAAAAUAUAGUGAUAUAUCUCUUUUAUAUUGAAGUGAUUAUAAUUAAUGAAAUUAAUUUAUUUUACCUGAAGUUUCAAAGAGCAGUGAACAAUACAAGCAGUGUGUGGUAUCGCAUUAGUUUCUUUGCAGACACAAUCCUACAGCUUUUUCGUUGUGAUAUCAGAGAUCUUUUCCUGGAAUCAGUGGGCUUGCACCAAACAGGUUCAGUACCAUGUAGUUUCUAUAUGUUAUAUAUUUCAUAUAAAGGACUUUAUGAUUCUGUUACUUCCCCAGUAGUCUUAUGGAUUAGGAUCUCAAAAAGAACUUGCACUUUUACAGCAUUUUGCUGAGAGCACUACGCUAACAUCCAGCCUCAAAGUAGGAAAUAAUAUUAAACCAAGUUCUGUAUGAGAUGAACCAGAAGAGCCUCUGCCAUUUUAACUCUUUAAUAUAUUGCAUUGUGUCUAUAUUGUGUCAUUGAGGAAAAGGGAUUAAUAGAUGGCCAUAUACAUUGAAUAAUUUUUGUUGUAUAUCUUUCCUUCAGGAGUUCAAAGUAGCAAAAAAGGAGUCUCUCCUCAUAUAAUCCUAUGAGAUAGGUUAGCUGAGAGAGUGUGACUGGCCUAUAGUAAUGACAGCCAUUGUCAGAAAGAAUUGACAAAUUCUGGGCGGAAAGAGAAGGCAACCUCUUUUCUACAUAAAAGACAGUAUUAUAGAAAGCCUUAUCAUAAUUUUCUCCAAAUCAAAUAGCAUCUGUCUUUUUAAAUCACAGAUUUGCCAUGGAAUUGCAAAUUAGUCCAUAUUAUAAAGAACAGAACUUUUGCCAUUUUGUAUAGAGAAAAUAUUUAAAAGUCAAUAUUUAAAUUGCCUCUGAAUUUAUAUAUUAUUAAUACUGGGCUGACAUCUGCUAGUGAACUAACAUUCCUAUCCUCCUUCCCUAAAUCUUUCUCAAAGGCUGGAAUGUAGCAAAUGCAUGCCUGCUCAUCUAAUGUUGGAUGCAGCCUACUAUAACACAUCCUGAUAAAUAAGUGGGGGGAAUCUCCGAAGCUGGCAUCCUAUUUUAUAUCAGUUGCCUGCAUUUAGUGUGUUGUCCACAGACCCAAGUCAGCACUAGAAGCUUUAUCCCCUUCCUUUCUUGUGCUAAGGAGGAUAGGAUGAUGGAAAUCGAAAGGCCUAAAUACUUGAAGCUCAUCAGAUUGGCUAAACUUGUCACAGCUUUAUAUCAUUUGGUUUGAUUUAAAGGCAAUUGGGAUUUGAAUUCAUGUUCCUAUAUGAAAUAAUCCUUCAGAAUGUGGCAGCUAGUCUUCCCAAAUAAUACAUCAGUAUUUUUUUAAAAAUAGAACUAACACUAUGGCCACAAUACAUUUGUAGCUUUUCUACUGUCUUGCAGCCUUUUCUGAAUUUUGCUACCCUGACACAAGAGCUUUCAAGAAAUUGUAUUUUCAUUGUAUCUUGUUGGCUCCAGCUUAUACUUGCUUCCAGGACAUGAUGUCCUCUUAACACUGCAGCCAUCUUGACGACAUCAAAGACUUUGGUUUAUAUCUGGAUAAUUUUUGCACACAGCUUUGCUUCCCAUCAUGAUUCUUCCAAUACAUUUUGCUCAUUGCAGAGUAUUGUUUUAUACUUUUUUUUUCUUUUUAAAUGGGGGAAGGUGUCACUUCUUGAAGCUGGCAGUUCUUGCACAGGCCAUGUGCUUCUGCUGGAGUGAAAAAAUGUAAGCUUUCCUUACUAUGUGCAGGGUCUCUAUAUUACACCUCAAUGUACAAUUUUGCUGCUACUGUUUGUACUGUCUACAGUAGAAUUUCCUUAUCUUGAUCCUGGUAGUGCAUUUACAGGUAAGCAUGAAAUGUAAAAUAUUUAUUUAAAUAAAAACUCUAAAUUGAUCAUUCAAUUAUCUUCCCUUAGCUCUAGAGUUUGUGAAAUUCCUUGACCUUGCUAGUUUUUUCAGAAAAUCCCUGACAAAUCUAAUUGUAUAGUUAAGGAUAUUAAGCAGACAAGACUAAGUCCAAGAAACAAUUGUAUUUGUACUUAGUUGUACUUAGGCUACUUUCUUUAGCAUAUGACCAUAAGGAUCUAAAAUAACUACAGGGCUUUUUAUUUACUUUUUGUACAUUACAUAUCUUUACUAGUUUUACACUUACAUAUAGGGACACUCAUUUGUGUAUUUAUUUAUGCACACAGUAUAAAUAAAGCACAAUGUCAAUCUGUUAAAUUUAUGUCUAUGUUGUUGGUUUUGCUUUGAAAUACAUAUGCACAUAAAGUUACAAUUCUUUUUCCACUUUGUUUUAGGAUAAAAGAAAUUGCAUACUCUGUUGAAAUGACUGAAAUACAUAAUUUUGAAUUACAGCAGGUAUAACUGAAGUGUAGAGUUUCUAAAGUAUAAAUCUGAACAUAAAGAUAUACAGACGAUAGUUUUAAAAGGCUGGUGCUUUCUUCUGACAGUGUGUGCAUCGCCUCAUUGUGCAUCUGACGGUGCACAAUGUCAGUCUUCAUAUAAAUUAUCAAGAAACUGCUCUGUUCUCCCAUAUGGAAAUAUCUCCUUUUAGAUAAUUCUGUAAUUAAGAACAUUUAUUAAAUACUAAUUAUAUAUAAGAUUCCCACUGUUUAAAGACGCUCACUGUCUAAAAAAUAUGGGAACGGAAUGAAGGAGCCAGAAGGAAACCAGAUGCAGAAUUUGUUGUAUAAUUCAUACACAGCCACUGUAAGAAAAGCAUGCUGGAGGACACAUUUAAGAAAAACAUUUUUAUUUUUAACUGAAAUUAUCAGAGCAUAGCAUUCAUUAUGGAAAUGCAUUCCAUGUAUAAAAGAAUACAAGUUAAAUAGGAAAGAUUUUGGAAUGAAUAAUAAAAAUUAUGAAUGGAAACUUACAGAAAUGGCAAAAGUAAUAAAGUCAGGCUUACGAACACAAAAAAGCAGUUCAAGAAUAUGUAAGGUGCUUGCUUCAAUAACUGAUGAGAAACUAUGCAUUCUGAUACUGAUUCUGCUUUUGCAAAAUCAUGAGUAAUAAUUACCAGUUUGUCCCAGACAUCAGUAGCUUGGAAAAUCAUAAGAUUCCAGUAUAGCAUCCAUUCACUCAUUUCUGUUACUCUUUCAUGCCUGACUCAAAAUUAUGGAGUUAAGGACUCAUUUGCUUAAUUAAUAUAUAUUAAUUUACUUCAAACAUUGGACUGCUCUGUGUAGAACAAUUCCAAAAUUGGUUUAAGAAAUAAGUUUUCCAAAUUUGUAAUAUUAAGAAUACAAUCCUAAAAACUAUAAAUAAGCAUUUCAAGAGCUGUAGGAUUUCUUAGAUUUUCCUCUUGAGGCCCUAUCAGAAAUCAAAACUGACUUAAAGGCAAUCAAUCAUUUAAUAAAUCUCCAAGAUCUAGAAAUGGAAAGCUUUAAAAAAAGGAGAGAGAUUUCAGAAAAGAUGCUUCGUUGUUCUAGAGGGUUUUUUCUUACCGCUUUCAAUAAGCAUUAAAAACCAAUAAGGAAAGGAAUGAAUCUUUGUUAACUUUUUGUACUUCAACCUUGUCAGAUUGAAGCCACCAGACUGUCUUGUGAGAUCUGAUAGAUACUUAGUAUUCUUUUGACUACAAAAAUGCAAACUUGAGACAACAAAACCACAGUAUCAUAUUUGUCAAAUUGACCACCACACUUCUUUAAGAGGCAAAAGAUUGAAUGCCUUCAAAAAUACUUUCUCUAUAUAAUGUAAUGUUGCUGUUAUAUAUACAUUUUGUUUUGCUUUCAUGGAAUUUCAAGUCCCAUGGGUUAAGCUUCUGGGAAUUCUCUCAGAAAUGGUAUAGGGUCUCCUGCUUGAGCAGGAGGUUGGACUAGAUGAUUUACAAGCUCCAUUCCAACUGUGUUGUUCUGUUAUUAUUCUCUUAUUAUUAUUAUCCCAUCUAAUAGCAGUCAGUUCUAUUGUUGUAAGGUUGUUUCAUCCUGGAUCUUCAGACCUUUGCUGUAUCUGCUACAGAAAGAAUGCCAGACAGUUACCCCACUCUUCUGUAAAGUUAUCCAAAAAGGCAUACAAUUUAAUUAUAUAAUCAGCAAGAACUAGAAAUAGAGCAUUGAAAUAUGGUAACACAGUAUAAAAAAAGUAGCUGCAAGUAUUUUAACUGGGAUAAACUGUUGUAGAAACUGAAACUUGUAGCAAUAAAAUAGUUUUUGCAGAUCAAAGUGGAAAAAUAAUCUAUUUCUGAGGAAGAGUUAAAAAUUAUGGUACCAUCACAGAAAAGGUCCAUCUUUAGUGAUUUUUUCUGAAUUGCUUGGAUGAUGAGUUCCCAAACAAUGAUCACACUUUUUAGUCAGGCACUUACAACAAUGUUUGGCUCUUUAAACAGCUUAGUGUUUGGCCUUUAAAUUACCCUGUUUUCAAACUGCUUUGAUUUUACGUUUUCAUUGCAAAAUAAAACAAUGCCGUUUUUAUGGAUCACAAUUAUUGGAAACCACAGUCUCCAGAAUAGCUUUAUACCUGAAAUGAACUUAGACUUAGUAUCUACACUGCUGAAGUCAUCAGGUGCCCAAUUGGAAGAGGAAACAUUCUCAAAUGAAACAGUGAAUUGAAAAAACAGAGGAGUGCAGGUUUCCAGAGACUCAGUGGCCAGAAGUCAAAUCAGACUUAAGGCAAUUUGGAAAUGCUAAAAGAAGACAAGAAUAGCAUAUGAGAGUUCAAGUAGCAAUGAAUCAAUGCAUAGAGAUUCAACAAUCAGUUGUUGUGUUCAUUUACAUAAUCCGUACUUAGUGUUUUUUACCAUCAGCUUCACAUGUGAACUGUCUUAUUUAAACUGACAAAAAGAAAUACAGUAUGUGAAUUCUGUUUGUAAUCAUUUACAAGUGAGAAUUCAUUUAUACCUGUAAGUAAUCACCUGAUAAGUUUAUCAAGAAUGAAUCAGCAUGUGUGAACAAAUAUUUGCCAGGGAUGCUUGAGAAACAGAUUAGCAAAACUCAGAACAUUUAACAGCAGAAUGCUUAAGAGAACCAAAGGAAUAAAAGGAUGUGUACUUGGUAAAGAAAGAAAUGGAAGUAAUGGAAAAUAAAAAUACAGGCAGAAAUAUGUAGUUCUGUCUAAAUACAUGUAGGAUCUUAAAUAUCUGAAAGAUUGGUAAGAGCUAGGAAAAAUACUACUACUAGUUGGAAGAUAGUGGUUGCUGAGUUUGGAGAAUGAAUGCAAGGUUAGGUGAGGUGGGAACAAAUUCUUGAGGGACACCGAAUGGUAAAAAAAAAUUUUAGGAGGAAAAACAGGGUUAUGCAUGUGCUGGAACCUUCCCACUGAAAUCAAUGGGAUCACAAACCUUAACUUUGUCUGGACUGUGCCUUAGUUAUAUGUAAUCAUGAUUUCUCAGUUAAGUCAAUAUUUAUUAUACCAUGAAAACAUUUUAUGACCAGAGGUAUGUAACUAUUCCAAUUAAAACACAUAAAUUAAGAUUCCAUGCUAGACUUUGAGUUAUUGCUCCAGGAAAUUCUAAUAAUUGCAUAUUUGCUAGUCAUUUUUAGUUAUAAAAUGACAUAAUGUUACACUUCUGUUUACUUCUGUCAAGCAUGUACACAUUUAUUUAUUUGGGUUGUUUUUUUAAAUCUAUCCUACUGCUGAAAAUUUAGGGUGGAUAAUAUUAAGAAACAUUUUAUUCAUGUAUUUAAUAAAUAUUUAUUACAUA
Molecule: non-coding RNA, 10241 nt
Organism: Thamnophis sirtalis
Lineage: Eukaryota; Metazoa; Chordata; Lepidosauria; Squamata; Natricidae
Source: RefSeq, a predicted model, not a curated record